AUGGCCACGGCUCUGCUGCUUCUCCAGCUCAUAUUGGGCUCUUGCAAGCGGCGGUGGCAUCAUUCCUUCGUGAAAGGUGCCCUGAGCAUGUGUACAACACUUGCAUUCCCUCUCGUCCUCUUCACAUUGGGUAUGAUGGACUCCUUCCCAAUCAAGAGUUCCUCGUAUCCCGUCUGGGCUGCUGUUCUCUUGAUGGCUUCAGUGGGCCCGACGGUCGUCCAGAAAUAUGAAUUCUAUGGCAGCUUUGGCAAAAAGUACAUACAGGUUUUUGUCGAGACCUGUAAAUAUUGUUUCUAUGCAUAUAUGAUAUCUAGGCUAUCAAAUUCAAGUUCACCUCGAAGCUUUCUAAAGUGGCAUGGCAGUUCAAGUUCCUAG
This 375-nucleotide ribosomal RNA is filed under the name Triticum aestivum (bread wheat). RNAcentral's name for it is "partial small subunit ribosomal RNA". Lineage: Eukaryota; Viridiplantae; Streptophyta; Magnoliopsida; Poales; Poaceae. The record is from RNAcentral.